GCAGUCGAACGGACUUAACCAUUAGUUUACUAUUGGAGCGGUUAGUGGCGGACUGGUGAGUAACACGUAAGCAACCUGCCUAUCAGAGGGGAACAACAGUUAGAAAUGACUGCUAAUACCGCAUAUGCCUAAGUACCACAUGGUACAAUAGGGAAAGGAGUAAUCCGCUGAUAGAUGGGCUUGCGUCUGAUUGGAUAGUUGGUGGGGUAAAGGCCUACCAAGUCGACGAUCAGUAGCCGGACUGAGAGGUUGAACGGCCACAUUGGGACUGAGAUACGGCCCAGACUCCUACGGGAGGCAGCAGUCGGGAAUAUUGCGCAAUGGAGGAAACUCUGACGCAGUGACGCCGCGUGCAGGAAGAAGGUUUUCGGAUUGUAAACUGCUUUAGACAGGGAAGAAAUAAGACAGUACCUGUAGAAUAAGCUCCGGCUAACUACGUGCCAGCAGCCGCGGUAAUACGUAGGGAGCGAGCGUUAUCCGGAUUUAUUGGGUGUAAAGGGUGCGUAGACGGGAAGAUAAGUUAGCUGUGAAAUCCCUCGGCUUAACUGAGGAACUGCAACUAAAACUGUUUUUCUUGAGUACUGGAGAGGAAAGUGGAAUUCCUAGUGUAGCGGUGAAAUGCGUAGAUAUUAGGAGGAACACCAGUGGCGAAGGCGACUUUCUGGACAGAAACUGACGUUGAGGCACGAAAGUGUGGGGAGCAAACAGGAUUAGAUACCCUGGUAGUCCACACCGUAAACGACGGAUACUAGGUGUAGGGGAUAAUAAAUUCUCUGUGCCGUCGCAAACGCAAUAAGUAUCCCACCUGGGGAGUACGGCCGCAAGGUUGAAACUC
Molecule: ribosomal RNA, 835 nt
Filed under: uncultured bacterium
Lineage: Bacteria
Description: bacterial SSU rRNA
Rfam family: Bacterial small subunit ribosomal RNA
Source: RNAcentral